This 483-nucleotide ribosomal RNA is filed under the name uncultured bacterium. Its description in RNAcentral is "bacterial SSU rRNA". It matches the Rfam family "Bacterial small subunit ribosomal RNA", at positions 30 to 507 of the family's 1533-position model. The record is from RNAcentral.
AUUGAACGCUGGCGGAAUGCUUUACACAUGCAAGUCGAACGGCAGCACGGGGCAACCUGGUGGCGAGUGGCGAACGGGUGAGUAAUACAUCGGAACGUGCCCAAUCGUGGGGGAUAACGUAGCGAAAGUUACGCUAAUACCGCAUACGAUCUACGGAUGAAAGCGGGGGAUCGCAAGACCUCGCGCGAAUGGAGCGGCCGAUGUCAGAUUAGGUAGUUGGUGGGGUAAAGGCUCACCAAGCCAACGAUCUGUAGGCUGGUCUGAGAGGACGACCAGCCACACUGGAACUGAGACACGGUCCAGACUCCUACGGGAGGCAGCAGUGGGGAAUUUUGGACAAUGGGCGCAAGCCUGAUCCAGCCAUUCCGCGUGCAGGAUGAAGGCCUUCGGGUUGUAAACUGCUUUUGUACGGAACGAAACGGCGAGCUCUAAUACAGUUUGCUAAUGACGGUACCGUAAGAAUAAGCACCGGCUAACUACGUG